CUGAGAGUUUGAUCCUGGCUCAGAACGAACGCUGGCGGCAGGCUUAACACAUGCAAGUCGAACGAACUCUUCGGAGUUAGUGGCAGACGGGUGAGUAACGCGUGGGAACCUACCUUUAGGUACGGAACAACAGUUGGAAACGACUGCUAAUACCGUAUGAGCCCUAUGGGGGAAAGAUUUAUCGCCUAAGGAUGGGCCCGCGUUGGAUUAGCUAGUUGGUGGGGUAAUGGCCUACCAAGGCGACGAUCCAUAGCUGGUCUGAGAGGAUGAUCAGCCACAUCGGGACUGAGACACGGCCCGAACUCCUACGGGAGGCAGCAGUGGGGAAUAUUGGACAAUGGGCGCAAGCCUGAUCCAGCCAUGCCGCGUGAGUGAUGAAGGCCCUAGGGUUGUAAAGCUCUUUCAGCGAGGAGGAUAAUGACGUUACUCGCAGAAGAAGCCCCGGCUAACUUCGUGCCAGCAGCCGCGGUAAUACGAAGGGGGCUAGCGUUGUUCGGAAUCACUGGGCGUAAAGCGCACGUAGGCGGACUUUUAAGUCAGGGGUGAAAUCCCGGGGCUCAACCCCGGAACUGCC
RNAcentral lists this ribosomal RNA (574 nucleotides) under Thalassiosira rotula. RNAcentral's name for it is "partial Bacterial small subunit ribosomal RNA". It matches the Rfam family "Bacterial small subunit ribosomal RNA", at positions 1 to 625 of the family's 1533-position model. Lineage: Eukaryota; Bacillariophyta; Thalassiosirophyceae; Thalassiosirales; Thalassiosiraceae. The record is from RNAcentral.